CAGCAGCCGCGGGAAUACGUAGGUGGCAAGCGUUGUCCGGAAUUACUGGGCGUAAAGGGCUCGCAGGCGGUUUCUUAAGUCUGAUGUGAAAGCCCCCGGCUCAACCGGGGAGGGUCAUUGGAAACUGGGAAACUUGAGUGCAGAAGAGGAGAGUGGAAUUCCACGUGUAGCGGUGAAAUGCGUAGAGAUGUGGAGGAACACCAGUGGCGAAGGCGACUCUCUGGUCUGUAACUGACGCUGAGGAGCGAAAGCGUGGGGAGCGAACAGGAUUAGAGACCCGUGUAGUCCCUGUCUCUUAUAC
Molecule: ribosomal RNA, 301 nt
Filed under: uncultured bacterium
Lineage: Bacteria
Description: partial 16S ribosomal RNA
Rfam family: Bacterial small subunit ribosomal RNA
Source: RNAcentral